This 482-nucleotide unclassified non-coding RNA is filed under the name Hevea brasiliensis (rubber tree). The record is from RNAcentral. Lineage: Eukaryota; Viridiplantae; Streptophyta; Magnoliopsida; Malpighiales; Euphorbiaceae.
CAAAGCUCAAGAAGAUGUUGUGGCUGCAUGUAACGAGUAUGGUAUUAAAGUUACCCUGUUCCAUGGGCGUGGAGGGAGCAUCGGCCGUGGUGGUGGGCCAACGUAUCUGGCCAUUCAAUCGCAGCCUCCAGGUUCGGUAAUGGGUACUUUACGAUCAACUGAGCAAGGGGAGAUGGUACAGGCGAAGUUCGGGUUGCCGCAGACUGCUGUUAGACAGCUAGAGAUAUAUACCACGGCCGUACUCCUUUCAACCCUGCGUCCACCACUUCCACCUCGAGAAGCAAAAUGGCGUAAGCUCAUGGAGGAGAUCUCAAAAAUCAGCUGUGAGAAUUACCGGAGCAUGGUAUAUGAAAAUCCAGAAUUCAUUUCAUACUUCAAUGAGGCCACUCCCCAAGCAGAGCUUGGCUUCCUUAACAUUGGAAGCCGGCCAACAAGAAGAAAGACCUCUGUUGGGAUCGGGCAUCUUCGAGCUAUACCAUGGG